RNAcentral lists this ribosomal RNA (252 nucleotides) under uncultured bacterium. Its description in RNAcentral is "partial 16S ribosomal RNA". It matches the Rfam family "Bacterial small subunit ribosomal RNA", at positions 524 to 776 of the family's 1533-position model. The record is from RNAcentral.
UACGGAGGGGGCUAGCGUUAUUCGGAAUUAUUGGGCGUAAAGGGCGCGUAGGCGAUUCGAAAAGUCAACUGUGAAAGCCCAGGGCCUAACCCUGGAAGUGCAGCUGAUACUGUUGAAUUUGAGUUCCGGAGAGGAAGGCAGAAUUCCGGUGUAGCGGUGAAAUGCGUAGAUAUCGGGAGGAAUACCAGUGGCGAAGGCGGCCUUCUGGACGGAUACUGACGCUGAGGCGCGAAAGCUAGGGGAGCAAACGGG